This 826-nucleotide long non-coding RNA is filed under the name Homo sapiens (human). Its description in RNAcentral is "non-protein coding lnc-MAP4K3-2:1". Lineage: Eukaryota; Metazoa; Chordata; Mammalia; Primates; Hominidae. The record is from RNAcentral.
CUUUGCUUCUCCUGGGUAUCCAGCUCUUGGGACAUCUCAGCCUCCAUAGUCACAUGAGCCAAUUCUGUUAUGUCAUAACUCUGAGCUUUCACUGCUAGCAAUCACAAGGUUGUGUAUUCUCUUUUCAUUCUUUAUCUGCGGUGAAUAUAGUAGACGAGAUGACCUCCAGUGGCCAGGUAUCUCAAACAUAUGCCUCUGCAGUGGUUGCAUUCUCCCGCGCUGUUUGUUCACACUGAGCCCAGCAUGGGGGAAGCUUCAGGAUGCAACAAUAAAUAAGGGAAGGGAGCCAUGUGCGAAAGAAAUAAACCUGAGUAGUGAGAGGAACAUGGGUCUUGGAUUAGGAUAUAGAACAAUGUUUAAACCCUGGUUGGCCAGGUAUAAGCUAUGUAAUAACCUUGGGCAAUUCACCUAAUUCCUCUGAGUCUUAAUUUCCUCAUUUCUUAUAUGUGGUAAUUGUGCCUAAUUGAGAAGAUGCACAAUAGAAAUUCAAUAGUAGCUCUAAUUACCAUGCAACAACCUUCCUGGUCCACUGUGUGGGUUUCUUUCAGGCUGUGAGUAAGUGGACAUGGAUUUCUGUAGCUAGUCUCUGCCAGAGGAUAUGAGUAUUUCAAGAAGCAGGAAGGGCUGGAGGUGUGUGAAGGCUCCCCCGCUCCUGCACUUCAUUUGUACACUCUCAUCAUCACUGGAGGAGUCUCCUGGCUGCAGUUGAGCCUUCGAUGAGAUGAUUUGCAUCACUCACAUUCCAAGCUGGGUGGGGGAAGCCCAGACAUUCUCGCUCUGCCCCUCAACCAGCUUGGUGCCAGAUUUCCUCUCGCUUCACCCCCCC